GGUCAAGCGAACAAGUGCAUGUGGUGGAUGCCUUGGCGAUCACAGGCGAUGAAGGACGCGGUAGCCUGCGAAAAGCGGAGGGGAGCUGGCAAACGAGCUUUGAUCCUCCGAUAUCCGAAUGGGGAAACCCGGCCCGUAUGGGUCAUCCGUAACUGAAUACAUAGGUUACGUGAAGCGAACGCGGUGAACUGAAACAUCUAAGUAACCGCAGGAAAAGAAAUCAACCGAGAUUCCCAGAGUAGUGGCGAGCGAAAUGGGACCAGCCUGUACUCUUUAUCUUCAUUGUUAGUCGAAGGCUCUGGAAAGUGCCGCCAUAGCAGGUGAUAGCCCUGUAGACGAAAACAGCGGGGAAGAACUAGGUGUACGGAAAGUAGGGCGGGACACGUGAAAUCCUGUCUGAAGAUGGGGGGACCAUCCUCCAAGGCUAAAUACUCGUGAUCGACCGAUAGUGAACCAGUACCGUGAGGGAAAGGCGAAAAGAACCCCGGGAGGGGAGUGAAACAGAUCCUGAAACCGCAUGCAUACAAACAGUCGGAGCCUCUGCGAAGGGGUGACGGCGUACCUUUUGUAUAAUGGGUCAGCGACUUACAUUCAGUGGCAAGCUUAACCGAUUAGGGCAGGCGUAGCGAAAGCGAGUCCGAACAGGGCGAUUCAGUCGCUGGGUGUAGACCCGAAACCAGGUGAUCUAUCCAUGGCCAGGAUGAAGGUGCGGUAACACGUACUGGAGGUCCGAACCCACUAACGUUGAAAAGUUAGGGGAUGAGCUGUGGAUAGGGGUGAAAGGCUAAACAAACCUGGAAAUAGCUGGUUCUCUCCGAAAACUAUUUAGGUAGUGCCUCGUGUAUCACCUUCGGGGGUAGAGCACUGUCAUGGUUGUGGGGUCCAUUGCGGAUUACUACGCCAUAGCAAACUCCGAAUACCGAAGAGUGCAAUCACGGGAGACAGACAUCGGGUGCUAACGUCCGGUGUCAAGAGGGAAACAACCCAGACCGCCAGCUAAGGUCCCCAAAUAUUGCUAAGUGGGAAACGAAGUGGGAAGGCUAAAACAGUCAGGAGGUUGGCUUAGAAGCAGCCAUCCUUUAAAGAAAGCGUAAUAGCUCACUGAUCGAGUCGUCCUGCGCGGAAGAUGUAACGGGGCUAAGCAAUAUACCGAAGCUGCGGAUGCACAUUUAUGUGCAUGGUAGGAGAGCGUUCCGUAAGCCUGCGAAGGUGCAUUGAAAAGUGUGCUGGAGGUAUCGGAAGUGCGAAUGCUGACAUGAGUAGCGAUAAAGGGGGUGAAAGGCCCCCUCGCCGUAAGCCCAAGGUUUCCUACGCAACGUUCAUCGGCGUAGGGUGAGUCGGCCCCUAAGGCGAGGCAGAAAUGCGUAGCUGAUGGGAAGCAGGUUAAUAUUCCUGCACCAUUGUUAAAUGCGAUGGGGGGACGGAUCGCGGAAGGUUGUCCGGGUGUUGGAAGUCCCGGUCCUUGCAUUGGAGAAGGCGCUCAGGCAAAUCCGGGCGCGGAAUUCAAGGGUGCGAGGCCAGUCGCUUAGGCGACGAAGCAAUCGGAAGUGGUUCCAAGAAAAGCCUCUAAGCUUCAGUUUAACAGGACCGUACCGCAAACCGACACAGGUGGGCGAGAUGAGUAUUCUAAGGCGCUUGAGAGAACUCGGGAGAAGGAACUCGGCAAAUUGGUACCGUAACUUCGGGAUAAGGUACGCCCCUGUAGCUUGAUGCCCCUGCGGGCAGAGGGUGAAGGGGUUGCAAUAAACUGGUGGCUGCGACUGUUUAAUAAAAACACAGCACUCUGCAAACACGAAAGUGGACGUAUAGGGUGUGACGCCUGCCCGGUGCCGGAAGAUUAAAUGAUGGGGUGCAAGCUCUUGAUUGAAGUCCCGGUAAACGGCGGCCGUAACUAUAACGGUCCUAAGGUAGCGAAAUUCCUUGUCGGGUAAGUUCCGACCUGCACGAAUGGCGUAACGAUGGCCACACUGUCUCCUCCCGAGACUCAGCGAAGUUGAAGUGUUUGUGAUGAUGCAAUCUCCCCGCGGCUAGACGGAAAGACCCCAUGAACCUUUACUGUAGCUUUGCAUUGGACUUUGAACCGAUCUGUGUAGGAUAGGUGGGAGGCUAUGAAGCGUGGACGCCAGUCUGCGUGGAGCCGUCCUUGAAAUACCACCCUGGUUUGUUUGAGGUUCUAACCUUGGCCCGUGAUCCGGGUCGGGGACAGUGCAUGGUAGGCAGUUUGACUGGGGCGGUCUCCUCCCAAAGUGUAACGGAGGAGUACGAAGGUACGCUAGGUACGGUCGGAAAUCGUGCUGAUAGUGCAAUGGCAUAAGCGUGCUUAACUGCGAGACCGACAAGUCGAGCAGGUGCGAAAGCAGGUCAUAGUGAUCCGGUGGUUCUGUAUGGAAGGGCCAUCGCUCAACGGAUAAAAGGUACUCUGGGGAUAACAGGCUGAUACCGCCCAAGAGUUCAUAUCGACGGCGGUGUUUGGCACCUCGAUGUCGGCUCAUCUCAUCCUGGGGCUGUAGCCGGUCCCAAGGGUAUGGCUGUUCGCCAUUUAAAGAGGUACGUGAGCUGGGUUUAAAACGUCGUGAGACAGUUUGGUCCCUAUCUGCCGUGGGCGCUGGAUAUUUGAAGGGGGCUGCUCCUAGUACGAGAGGACCGGAGUGGACGAACCUCUGGUGUACCGGUUGUCACGCCAGUGGCAUCGCCGGGUAGCUAUGUUCGGAAGAGAUAACCGCUGAAAGCAUCUAAGCGGGAAACUCGCCUUAAGAUGAGAUAUCCCCGGGGCUUCGAGCCCCUUGAAGGGUCGUUCAAGACCAGGACGUUGAUAGGUCAGGUGUGGAAGCGCAGUAAUGCGUUAAGCUAACUGAUACUAAUUGCCCGUAAGGCUUGAUCCU
Molecule: ribosomal RNA, 2882 nt
Filed under: Paraburkholderia fungorum
Lineage: Bacteria; Pseudomonadati; Pseudomonadota; Betaproteobacteria; Burkholderiales; Burkholderiaceae
Description: 23S ribosomal RNA
Rfam family: Bacterial large subunit ribosomal RNA
Source: RNAcentral